UACGAAGGGGGCUAGCGUUGUUCGGAAUCACUGGGCGUAAAGCGCACGUAGGCGGACUUUCAAGUCAGGGGUGAAAUCCCGGGGCUCAACCUCGGAACUGCCUUUGAUACUGUUGGUCUCGAAUCCGGUAGAGGUGGGUGGAAUUCCUAGUGUAGAGGUGAAAUUCGUAGAUAUUAGGAAGAACACCGGUGGCGAAGGCGGCCCACUGGACCGGUAUUGACGCUGAGGUGCG
RNAcentral lists this ribosomal RNA (232 nucleotides) under uncultured bacterium. Its description in RNAcentral is "partial 16S ribosomal RNA". It matches the Rfam family "Bacterial small subunit ribosomal RNA", at positions 524 to 755 of the family's 1533-position model. The record is from RNAcentral.